AACAGUUGUCGUUCGUUAUAGACAUUUCACCUAACCUUCUAAGUAUUUAUCUAAUCAAUAUUUGAACAGUUGUAAUAUUUUAUUAUAUAAAAAUGUACAAUAUAAUUAUAAUAUGGUAAUCGUUUUGAAGAACGUUGCUUGAUGAAAUUAGAACAAACCUACAAAGUAACGGAUAUGCAUUGUGAUCUAUAUAGGACAAUUCAGAAACUUUAAAAGACGGCGGAAGAGCAGAAAUUUAAAAUCGAAAAUAAAAAUAAUUGUGAUGAUAUUUACUUUUUACAACUAGAAAUUAUAACCAUUAAAGACCAUUUGAACGCAUUGAACACAGAUACCAACGAAAUGAAAACAAAAAUGAUAGGAACCAUCGAAAUACUCAAUAGUAAGUUUGGUAAACAGAAAAAUCGUAUUGGAGUCCUCGAAAGUAAUUAGAAAAAUAUCAGAUAAUUAUAAUACAUAAUUACUAAUGAUCUUUGAAUCGUAUGAGUAUUUAUAGAAGAAUUGACAAAAAAUACUACCCAUAUAAUUAAAAUGAAUUACUUACUCCUAUCAGAGAUUGCAAAUGUCUACAUGUUUGAACUUCGGUGCGGGAGGUGUUGUGUCAGGCCCGCUUAACACAUCAACAUCGUCCUCGGCAUCUACGAAUCUACCUCCUCCACCACCUUUGACUAUAAAGACCGACAUUUUGUGUACAUUUUUUGUGUACCGACAUUUAGGGGAGAGGUUCAAGGGAUGUUGGCAAACACAUCUAAGGCGGCAGUGAAGACUGAGAAAGGAUAUUUUAGAAUACCGAUUACUGAAGAAAUACUAAAUUCAGUUGUGGUAAAAAGUUUUCAACCAAGUGAUUGCGACAAACAUCGUUUUUGUUUUCAUUUCGUUGAUAUUUGUGUUCAACGUGUUUAAAUGGUCUCUAAUGUUUAUCAUUUCUAAUUUUAAAAGCUGUAUAUCAUCACACUUAUUUUUAUUUUUGAUUUUCAAUUUCUGAUCUCCCACCGUCUUUUCCAACGUUCUUCAAAACGAUGCAUCUGAAAGUUAAAUCAAAAUCAUUUAUUAAAUCAAUAAGAUUAUUGUUUAUUAAUUUAUUUAAUAAUAAUUUAUAAAUAUUUGUAAUUUUUUCACUUCGACUUUAUAUAACUUCAAAAUAUUAAAAGUUGCGUUUUUACUAAAACUAGAAUUAUUUGAUUCAUUUCCAGUUUCUGGAAAAUCAUAAGAUAUCUCGACCGUAUCAUUCUAGAAGUAUAAAUAAGUAAUAUUUCUACUUAGUUCGUAUUAUAAUAUAUUAUUUAUUUAUUAACUUUAUUAAUCUCAUAAUAAAAAAAAAAUGCAAUAUAUUGUAAAUAUACAGUAUAUAGAGUCGAUUUGUUGUUGAAAAUUUACAAAUACCAUUGUUCCAUAUUAUAUAUAAAUUUAGUAAUUUUGAUUAAAACUAUUAUUGAUCUCAAUUUGUAAUUUAAUGGAAGUAUUAAAAUUUAAAAUUAAAUCAACCGUAAUUUUAAUAUUCAUAAGUUAUGAACCAUAUAACAUAAUAAGUAAUAUAGACGAGAUAUUCUUUUUGUGAUACAUUAUAAUCAUUAAUCAAACGUGUCUACGAGCAUUACAGUUUUGGAGUUGCGAUAAAAUAAUAUAUAAUAUCUUAUGUACAUAUAUAGUAUGUCUAUUGAUAUAUACCUAGGUGGUUACUGGUAAGGUAAAGGUGUUGAUAACGUAUCUAAUUCGCGUUUUCAAUACGGUUUUGUCGUGACGUUCAAAACAAUAAAGUAACAAAUCUGUGUAUCCGUGAAUGCGCUUAAUACUUAGAAAGGGAGUUUACCAAUAGUGCUAAAAACUUAAUAAGGUUACCUGUAUACAUUUUAUUUAUAUUUCAGUACAAUAUUUUUUUGUUUGUCAUCUUAUACCAAAGAUUUGUUGAGAACUGAUUUUGAAAUAAAUAUUUUUUCUAAAAUACCAUAA
Molecule: long non-coding RNA, 1947 nt
Organism: Aphis gossypii (cotton aphid)
Lineage: Eukaryota; Metazoa; Arthropoda; Insecta; Hemiptera; Aphididae
Exons: 2
Source: RefSeq, a predicted model, not a curated record